GUGAUAGACAUGUCAGUCCAGUUAGUUGUCGAUUUGUUUUUAAGUUGUGUUAAUGGUAAAAAAAGCGUAAACAACUAGUUUUUAUAAGCUCGUUAAUAUUUACUAAAUAUUGAAGCAAUGGCUUACAAAUGGUGUGCAGUGCCAAAAUGCACCAACACGUCUAUAAAAACGCCAGAAAAACUUUUUGUUAGUGUCCCAAGGAAAGCCGAUCUACGGAGGAAAUGGUUACGAAUUGCUCGUAGAGAUCCCAAUGAAAUAAGGGCCGCUUCAACAAUUUUUUUCUGCGAGGAUCAUUUUGAUAUGCAGAAAGAUAUUAGGAACUUCAUGCAAUACAAAAUGGGUCUGAGCGUAAAACUUUUAAUUGUAGACGGAGUGCUUCCAUCAAAGUUUGCUUGUCAGCUGGAACAAAAAAGAUUGUGCUAUCGUAGUACGUCCCAAGAUGCAACCAUCAGAAGGAAAAGGUUAAAGUUCAAACAGGAAUGUGUGGAGGAAACACCAUCUAUUUUAUCAAGCACCUCUGUAACAAUUAACCAUAUUGUUGGCAAUGGGUUGCAGGAAACUGUUAUGCGGAAGUACAUAAAACCAUCAAAACACAAUGAUAUGGGAGUGAACACUGAAGCAAUCACAACUGCUGAAAAGUCGGUCCAAAUAAAUUGGAUGCAUUGCAGAAGCCAGGAUGCACAGACUAAGACCGCAGCCAAAGAUGUAUCUAUUUCUCCACUUAAAUUUUCCACAUCCGCAAAAUAUACUUCUCCAUUCAAGACCACACAAAGUUGCGAUAAGCCCUCCAGAUCAGUUUUCAAAAUGCCUUUAAAUAAUGCAGAGAAAUGUAAAAAUUAUCGUAAACGAAAAAAAGAGGCAACACUUAAAAUAAAAAAAGCUACAUUGACAUCCGCAGAAAGGUCUCGGAUGUAUAGGUUGCGGAAGAAACAACUCGCUCAAGGAAUUCAAUCAUCUGUGAAUGAAGUUAUGUACACUCCAUCAACAUCAAAUUUGCGAAUGACGUUUGAACCAUUGCCUCAGCCUGUUACUACAAAAGAGCUGCUACACCAAGCACAUAAGCAGUCUGUAAACACCGACUGUCUCAUAGUCCCCAAAAAGGAAAUUUCAGAGGAGCUGUCUGACAACAUCCUGCAUGUGAACACUGAAGCUCCGUUGGAAUUUAAUGUACAACUGGUAAAGCCGAUUAAGACAGAACUGAUCUUGAGUGAGAAUAUGGUUCAAUUGCGAGAGCAAGGCUCAACUCGCGACGAGGCAAUACAGAAUCCACAUUUAUCUAUACAGCAUAAUUUGCCAAAGAUGAGAUUGAAACCAGAUGUUGGUGCAAGUGUUGCCGGAUACUGCGCUCAGACACCUGAAAUGCAAGUGUCUAAAGUGCUGAAGCAAAACAUGGAGGAUCUAUCCACACAGACACAUAGUGAAUAUCUCAUAGUACCCAAGAAGGAAAUCAUAGAAGACCUGGAGGUCACGUUUCAAAAUGAAUACAAUUACAAUAUAGACAUCAUUGUACCCAAACAAGAGCUGUCCGACGACAGUGGACACUUGGACGAUGAAGAUCAGUUGGACAAUAAUAUGGACUUGUUAAAGCCAGUUGACAGAGACAUGGUUGAAGUAAGACAUCAAGAUUCAACUCACGCACAGACAACACAGAAUCAAUAUGUAUCAUAUAAUGCCACACAGAUUAAGCUCUAAGGGUUCGCAAAUCUCUUACAACUGUUUUUGAGACGAAAAAAAGUUCUCGUGAGACAGACAGACGGACAAUAUAGCGGUCUAAAAAUAUAUCUAUGACGAUACAUAAGAAAAUAAAUGGUAUUUCAGUCAGGAGUGCAAGACGUCGUGCUUCAAACCUGAGCCGUAAGACAAGAAACGCAAUGAAAGUACGUUUAACUAGAGAUAGGGAGUCAACGGAGCAGCGUGAAGUUCGUCUAAGCAAGG
This is an RNA transcript of Pararge aegeria (speckled wood butterfly), 1935 nucleotides long. RefSeq lists it as uncharacterized. The transcript has 9 exons. NCBI's taxonomy places the organism in Eukaryota, Metazoa, Arthropoda, Insecta, Lepidoptera, Nymphalidae. The record is from RefSeq and is a predicted model, not a curated record.